RNAcentral lists this ribosomal RNA (319 nucleotides) under bacterium L3(2011). RNAcentral's name for it is "bacterial SSU rRNA". It matches the Rfam family "Bacterial small subunit ribosomal RNA", at positions 1042 to 1363 of the family's 1533-position model. The record is from RNAcentral.
UGCAGGGUUGUCGUCAGCUCGUGUCGUGAGAAUGUGGGGUUAAGUCCCGCAACGAGCGCAACCCUUAUAUUAGUUUGUAAGCAUAAGUCGGGCACUCUGGUGAGACUGCCGGUACAAACCGGAGGAAGGUGGGGACGACGUCAAAUCAUCAUGCCCCUUAUGACCUGGGCUACACACGUGCUACAAUGGAUGGUACAACGAGUUGCGAACUCGCGAGAGUAAGCUAAUCUCUUAAAGCCAUUCUCAGUUCGGAUUGUAGGCUGCAACUCGCCUACAUGAAGUCGGAAUCGCUAGUAAUCGCGGAUCAGCAUGCCGCGGU